GUUGCUUUUUUUUUUUGGCCUUUCUUUGUUAACAUUAGGCCCAUCUCUGGUAGAGCUGGCUAACUUCUUGUAAACCUUCUUUUGUGAAACUGGAGUGUCCUCUACUGCAUCACUGGUUUUAUCCUUAAGUUUUUCAGUCUUCUCUUCAGUUACACCAUCCUGAGGUGAAAUUACAGUUUUUCUAGGGUUACUCUUAUCAGUUGCCUUUUGUGAGGCCAGAGUCUUUUGGUCAUUUUCAUCUUGCUUUGCACUGGGCUUCUCUACAGUUGGUUCUGGAAGUAGCGCCUUGCGGCUAAGGCGAAGUUGUCCCUUUUCAUUUACCUCAAUAAGUUUAACAUCAAGACGGUCUCCAACUUUAAAAGCGUCUUCUGCCUUUGGUAGCCAGCUCGAAGUCAGUUCACUUAUAUGGCAAAGUCCCUCACGACCUGGGGCUAUCUCAACAAAAACUCCAUAAGGAGCUAUUGAUUUGAUCUCACAAUUCCUAAAAAUAUCACCAACGGUUGGAACCAUUGUAAG
RNAcentral lists this unclassified non-coding RNA (516 nucleotides) under Hevea brasiliensis (rubber tree). Lineage: Eukaryota; Viridiplantae; Streptophyta; Magnoliopsida; Malpighiales; Euphorbiaceae. The record is from RNAcentral.